Molecule: long non-coding RNA, 1314 nt
Filed under: Piliocolobus tephrosceles (Ugandan red Colobus)
Lineage: Eukaryota; Metazoa; Chordata; Mammalia; Primates; Cercopithecidae
Description: lncRNA (ENSPTEG00000006067.1)
Source: RNAcentral
AUGCCACAUGAAUCUUGCUACAAUUUUAAAGAUAAAAAUGAAUUACCUUCCAAUACCUAUAAUAGCUUAUUAUGUUUUUAAUACACUUUUAUUUAUAAUUCGAAAAACAAACCACAAAAUGUUUAAACAUUUUCUAUUGAGUGAAAAUUAUAUAUUAUAUUACAUGUUAGGAUUUGGUUUAAUUUAUUUAAUUGACUAUUCAUAUACCAUAAUAACAAACAUUUGUAGAGAAUUAAACAUUACCUUUUUGUUUAAUAAGAGUAAAAGAGGUUAAAAAGAAAAGAAUAAUUCAAACAUAUAUGCAUAGUUUUUUAUAUACAUAAUUUUUUAUAUACAUUAUUUAUAUAUAAGUUCAGCUUGUUUAUGGCUUUCUAAACUUAACUGCAAUAUUAAUACGAGUGCAUAUGCAUAUAUAUAUAUCAAAUUUUUAAUUUUUCAUUAAUAUAUUUAUGAUCAUUGUUUUCAUAUUUUUACUAUUUUAUAUAUUUGCUUACAUCGAUGUACGCUGGUUAAACGCAUUUGAAAAAAAAAUAUAUAUAUAUAUAUAUACAUAUCAGUAUCUGUAUAGUUCUAAUAAUUUUUGUAAAAAUUAGUUUAUUUAUUUUUUUUUAAUAUUUUUUACAUAAUUUUCAUGCAUGUAAUUAUGUUUAUGUGUUCAUGUAAAUAUGAGCUGUGUCCUAAGUUCUAAUAAUAUAUAUACAUGUAUAUAAAGUUUAAAGUGCAUAAAGAAACAACUUUGUUUUGGAAUUAUUAAUUUACUUUUGAAACGAAUAGCAAAGUUUGUGAAAUAUAAAUUACGACUGUAUCUUGCUAAUAGGGCAAAAAUAUGCUUACUUAUUGUUCAAUAUGAACUUUUAAAAAAAUCACAUUCUUUAUUUUAAUAAUAAGCAAAAUAGUGAAUUCUUCUUUUUUUUAAACGUAUAUUAAUAACUAUCUUUAUUUGUUCUUUGGUUGUUUAUUUAAAAGUAAAAUAUGUCAACUGGUUUAAAAAAAAAAAAAAAACGAAUUCAGCAAAUAUAAUUUUAAUUAAACAAUCAAUUUUUUUUUUUUUUUUUGUAGUCGUAGUAGCAAUAUCUGCGCUGACAUUCUUUGUACAACCGUAAUAUAUAAAUUUAAAAGUGUUUUGUGCGAAAUUUAUAUAUAUGUACGUAUAGAUAGAUAGAGAUAGCUGAAAAAAUUUUAUGUUUACAUUUUUGUAUGUGUUAAAUAAUAUUUAAUGUUUAUACGGAUAUAAAAAGAAAAGAAAAUAUCAUUAAACAUAUGUUUCUAUUUUAUGAUAAUAAAAUAAAUUGAGUAAUUAACUAAACUGUAAAA